AUGGACGCAAGUCUGAUGGAGCAACGCCGCGUGAGUGAAGAAGGUUUCGGCUCGUAAAGCUCUGUUGGUAGUGAAGAAAGAUAGAGGUAGUAACUGGCCUUUAUUUGACGGUAAUUACUUAGAAAGUCACGGCUAACUACGUGCCAGCAGCCGCGGUAAUACGUAGGUGGCAAGCGUUGUCCGGAUUUAUUGGGCGUAAAGCGAGUGCAGGCGGUUCAAUAAGUCUGAUGUGAAAGCCUUCGGCUCAACCGGAGAAUUGCAUCAGAAACUGUUGAACUUGAGUGCAGAAGAGGAGAGUGGAACUCCAUGUGUAGCGGUGGAAUGCGUAGAUAUAUGGAAGAACACCAGUGGCGAAGGCGGCUCUCUGGUCUGCAACUGACGCUGAGGCUCGAAAGCAUGGGUAGCGAACAGGAUUAGAUACCCUGGUAGUCCAUGCCGUAAACGAUGAGUGCUAAGUGUUGGGAGGUUUCCGCCUCUCAGUGCUGCAGCUAACGCAUUAAGCACUCCGCCUGGGGAGUACGACCGCAAGGUUGAAACUCAAAGGAAUUGACGGGGGCCCGCACAAGCGGUGGAGCAUGUGGUUUAAUUCGAAGCAACGCGAAGAACCUUACCAGGUCUUGACAUCCAG
RNAcentral lists this ribosomal RNA (628 nucleotides) under Lactobacillus gasseri. RNAcentral describes it as "bacterial SSU rRNA". It matches the Rfam family "Bacterial small subunit ribosomal RNA", at positions 371 to 991 of the family's 1533-position model. The record is from RNAcentral. Lineage: Bacteria; Bacillati; Bacillota; Bacilli; Lactobacillales; Lactobacillaceae.